GCCGCCUUAGCUCAGCUGGUAGAGCAACCGCUUCGUAAGCGGUAGGUCCCCGGUUCAAAUCCGGGAGGCGGGG
This 73-nucleotide transfer RNA is filed under the name Minisyncoccota bacterium. RNAcentral describes it as "tRNA-Thr". It matches the Rfam family "tRNA". From Rfam's summary of the family: Transfer RNA (tRNA) molecules are approximately 80 nucleotides in length. Their secondary structure includes four short double-helical elements and three loops (D, anti-codon, and T loops). Further hydrogen bonds mediate the characteristic L-shaped molecular structure. tRNAs have two regions of fundamental functional importance: the anti-codon, which is responsible for specific mRNA codon recognition, and the 3' end, to which the tRNAs corresponding amino acid is attached (by aminoacyl-tRNA synthetases). tRNAs cope with the degeneracy of the genetic code in two manners: having more than one tRNA (with a specific anti-codon) for a particular amino acid; and 'wobble' base-pairing, i.e. permitting non-standard base-pairing at the 3rd anti-codon position. The record is from RNAcentral. Lineage: Bacteria; Bacillati; Minisyncoccota.